This is a long non-coding RNA of Triticum aestivum (bread wheat), 2239 nucleotides long. RefSeq lists it as uncharacterized. NCBI's taxonomy places the organism in Eukaryota, Viridiplantae, Streptophyta, Magnoliopsida, Poales, Poaceae. The transcript is spliced from 3 exons. The record is from RefSeq and is a predicted model, not a curated record.
CUAGAUCCUAGCCACACUCUUUCCGAAGCAGUCCCCGUAUCCCCCUCGCGCCAUUUCCGAAUCAUUUCGCCGAAUCUCGGCGUGUCCACCACAUUAACGCCAUGCAUCCACCGGAUCCGACCAUCGGCUUCUACGGCAAUGCGCGCUGAUGCGACCAUAACGGCCUCACGCUCCAAGGAUUCUCACCAGGAUGGUACGACCUGCGUCCUCCGAGGCUAGGGCACGGGUCCAUGUUAAGGACGCACGGCUUUUGUGGCGUCUGCCUGACGUCCCGAAAUGCCUGCGCGGGCCGGGCGCACGGGAGGUGUUCGACAGAUUGGCCAAACGGGACAGCAUGUUCCGCAUGCCGCAAAUUCCCCCCUGGUCUGCGUCGAUGACGGUCAGAUGGGACCCUGUGGUUUGGGUGUCAGUCAUGGAUAACUGAGGGCUGCGACCCGUGUUCAGUGCGAUGCCUGACAAACAUCUACUUGCGUUUCAGGAGGCUGUUGGCGUAAUGCUUGGCACAGGCUGGCAUUUCGGGAGCGACUGUGAGGGAAAACUCACCAUGUUUGGAAGCGAUGCUGCCAGGAUGACACUGCAGUUCCAUCUCUGCCGUAAAUAAGGUCACUGGUGUGAACCCACCUGCAGAAACUCCCUCCCACACCCUUGGAGCAGAAUGGCUGCAACUGCCACAUAAGGCCAUGAAGCACCGUGCGGUAUCAUAGAGACCAAUGAAGAAGCUCGAUAGCUUGGAAUAAGCAAAUUGCACUGCUUCACUAUCUGUUAACUGUGGCAUGAAUCCAUCAAUUAGUUUUGUUUAGAGGUUUAUCCCAUUAUCUCUCCCAGGCUUGUAUGCAACCGAACAAGCAUUUGUCAGUUGUGGACUGGAAGUAGUGAAUUUUCACACGCCAGGUUUCAGCUGACCAUGCUGCAGUUUAUUUACAUCCAGGAGGCUGUUGGCGUAAAGCUUGGCAUAGGCUGGCAUUUGAGACAGAACGCAUCUGGGGACUGACUUGGUUUGUGUUUAACGAACUGCCCGGAUGGACUGCACAUGUGGUUCUCCGUGAAGUGCCUCUUGGAGGCUAUAUGCUUUAUGGAGUCUUGUGCAAGAUCAAUCAUUCUGGAUCUGCAGAUCGUAAUCCCAUGGCUUGCUGGUCUAUCCUAUGGUGGAUUGUGCACAGCUGCAUUUCAGUAGAAUACCCGAGGUACAUGUUGCGACGCCUGGUACUUGUCUGGCCUUAGAGGGUUCUCAAGUCAUUCUGUCCAUCAUGGUUCAUCAUGCUGCUUGAACAUGUUAUAUUUAUUGUGACGUUGGGUUUUCUUAAAUAUUUACCAAGAAAAUUCCAACGAAACAUAGUUGAAGGUCCUCAUUAUUUGAAAUGGCAAGGGACAAAACUGGAGCACAAAAUAAUGCAACAUGCGUGUGGUUGAAAUUUCUAUUGUCGUAGCAAAGGAUGAGCUGGUCUUUGGCCCAUUAGAACUUCCAGUUCUGUUAUGCUACAAUGCAACUUGUAUUCAUCAGGAUACAUAAAAUGAAUUCUGUGCUUGCAUAUUUGUGCUACUUAAAUAAGAUGUCAAACCCGGUAUAUAUGGCUUCUAGAAAUAAGUGGUUAAAAAGAUACAUUUUCUGUGAGGAAAACAAAUAAUAUGUGUGGCAAAUAUUAGUGUGUGGACCCAAAUUAGUAAACAUCACCCACACCCAUGUUGGAGUUUGAAAUGUAGGAACAUUUAUCAUCUGUCUGCCUAGCGAGCUUCAAUUGUUCAUACCAACCGCUGUAUGGUAUUCCAUAAUUACAUAAGGAGACUAAGCUAGUUCUUUUUAUAAUGAUUUAGUUGCAUUGCCUGAGGACAGUGCACCAUAUCAUGAUUCUGAUGGAUGAAAUAUAUUUUAGAGGAGGCUGUUGGUCUAAGGCUUGGCAUAAGCUGGCAUUUGAGAUGGAACGCAUCUGGGGAAUGACUUGAUUUGUGUUUAAUGAACUGCCACAGAUGGACUGCACAUGUGGUUCUCGGUGAAGAGCCUUUUGGUGGCUACAGUUUAUGGAGUCUUGUGCAAGAUCAAUCAUUCUGGAAGGCAUACCCAUGGCAUGCUGAUCUAUCUCACCACGGAACAUGCAUGUUUGUGUUUCAGUAGAAUAUCUGAGGUACAUACUGUUAGAGUUAUAAUAUAAGUCAUGUACCCCUUUGUAUUUAUCUCGUUGUAUAAGGGGUUUCCUGCAUAUGUUCCACACCUGUACAUGUAUAUAUAUCGGCCUAUGGCCUC